Molecule: ribosomal RNA, 496 nt
Filed under: uncultured bacterium
Lineage: Bacteria
Description: partial 16S ribosomal RNA
Rfam family: Bacterial small subunit ribosomal RNA
Source: RNAcentral
AUGCACGCUGGCGGCGUGCCUCAUCCCUGCAAGUCGAGCGAACAGACGAGGAGCUUGCUCCUCUGACGUUAGCGGCGGACGGGUGAGUAACACGUGGAUAACCUACCUAUAAGACUGGGAUAACUUCGGGAAACCGGAGCUAAUACCGGAUAAUAUAUUGAACCGCAUGGUUCAAUAGUGAAAGACGGUUUUGCUGUCACUUAUAGAUGGAUCCGCGCCGCAUUAGCUAGUUGGUAAGGUAACGGCUUACCAAGGCAACGAUGCGUAGCCGACCUGAGAGGGUGAUCGGCCACACUGGAACUGAGACACGGUCCAGACUCCUACGGGAGGCAGCAGUAGGGAAUCUUCCGCAAUGGGCGAAAGCCUGACGGAGCAACGCCGCGUGAGUGAUGAAGGUCUUCGGAUCGUAAAACUCUGUUAUUAGGGAAGAACAAAUGUGUAAGUAACUAUGCACGUCUUGACGGUACCUAAUCAGAAAGCCACGGCUAACUACGUG